UUGAAAAAACUCUCAUCAUAUCAGGACUGUUUUACUAGCUGUUAGACCACCAUUGUACUGGCUACUAUAACAUUUCUUGGUAUUCUUUCUUGACUUGAACUAAUUAUUUCCUACUUGCCACACUAAAGUCCCCAAAAAGACCAUGAAGGCCUGAGAGUAAUGAAAAUCUUCCUGAAAUUGAGGUCACUGUGGAAGAUGGGACCAUCUAGUUGCAGAAAAACAAGCUCAGGACUC
Homo sapiens (human) is the source of this 234-nucleotide long non-coding RNA. RefSeq lists it as uncharacterized. The transcript has 3 exons. The record is from RefSeq and is a predicted model, not a curated record. NCBI's taxonomy places the organism in Eukaryota, Metazoa, Chordata, Mammalia, Primates, Hominidae.